AAAGUCAGCCGGACAGUCGCUGCCUGUUUACAGGGAGAGGAAAGUCCGGGCUCCAUAGGGCAGGAUGCCGGUUAACGACCGGGCGUCGCGAGGCGACGGAAAGUGGAACAGAGAGCAGAACCGCCGAUGGCCGGGCAACCGGCACAGGCAAGGGUGAAAAGGUGGCCCUUCGGGGUGGAUGGCUGGCAACAGGCAUUCCGGUAAGAGCGCACCGCGGACGUGGCAACACGGACGGCAGGCUAAACCCCAUCCGGAGCAAGAUCAAAUAGGGGAACGUUCAUGUGGCCCGCAUGGUUCCCGGGUAGAUUGCUGGAGCCGUCAGGUAACUGCCGGCCUAGAGGAAUGACUGUCACCGGUGGCAACACCGGUACAGAACCCGGCUUACAGGCUGACUUUGCGC
Aquaspirillum sp. LM1 is the source of this 400-nucleotide non-coding RNA. It matches the Rfam family "Bacterial RNase P class A". From Rfam's summary of the family: Ribonuclease P (RNase P) is a ubiquitous endoribonuclease, found in archaea, bacteria and eukarya as well as chloroplasts and mitochondria. Its best characterised activity is the generation of mature 5'-ends of tRNAs by cleaving the 5'-leader elements of precursor-tRNAs. Lineage: Bacteria; Pseudomonadati; Pseudomonadota; Betaproteobacteria; Neisseriales; Aquaspirillaceae. The record is from Rfam.